GAUGAACGCUGGCGGCGCGCCUAACACAUGCAAGUCGAACGGCACCCCUCUCCGGAGGGAAGCGAGUGGCGAACGGCUGAGUAACACGUGGAGAACCUGCCCCCUCCCCCGGGAUAGCCGCCCGAAAGGACGGGUAAUACCGGAUACCCCCGGGCGCCGCAUGGCGCCCGGGCUAAAGCCCCGACGGGAGGGGAUGGCUCCGCGGCCCAUCAGGGUAGACGGCGGGGUGACGGCCCACCGUGCCGACAACGGGUAGCCGGGUUGAGAGACCGACCGGCCAGAUUGGGACUGAGACACGGCCCAGACUCCUACGGGAGGCAGCAGUGGGGAAUCUUGCGCAAUGGGGGGAACCCUGACGCAGCGACGCCGCGUGCGGGACGGAGGCCUUCGGGUCGUAAACCGCUUUCAGCAGGGAAGAGUCAAGACUGUACCUGCAGAAGAAGCCCCGGCUAACUACGUGCCAGCAGCCGCGGUAAUACGUAGGGGGCGAGCGUUAUCCGGAUUCAUUGGGCGUAAAGCGCGCGUAGGCGGCCCGGCAGGCCGGGGGUCGAAGCGGGGGGCUCAACCCCCCGAAGCCCCCGGAACCUCCGCGGCUAGGGUCCGGUAGGGGAGGGUGGAGCACCCGGUGUAGCGGUGGAAUGCGCAGAUAUCGGGUGGAACACCGGUGGCGAAGGCGGCCCUCUGGGCCGAGACCGACGCUGAGGCGCGAAAGCUGGGGGAGCGAACAGGAUUAGAUACCCUGGUAGUCCCAGCCGUAAA
RNAcentral lists this ribosomal RNA (759 nucleotides) under uncultured bacterium. RNAcentral describes it as "bacterial SSU rRNA". It matches the Rfam family "Bacterial small subunit ribosomal RNA", at positions 28 to 806 of the family's 1533-position model. The record is from RNAcentral.